CAAUAGCGUAUACUAAAGUUGUUGCGAUUAAAAAGCUCGUAGUUGGAUCUCAGGCAUGGGCGCACGGUCCGCCUCGCGGCGGUCACUGUGCGUUUUGUUUCCCAUCCUACGCUUCCCAGCUAUCAGCCCAUGGUGCUCUUCACUGAGCGUUUUGGGUGGCCGGAACGUUUACUUUGAAGAAAUUAGAGUGUUCAAAGCAGGCACGUCGCCUGAAUAAUGGUGCAUGGAAUAAUGGAAUAGGACCUCGGUUCUAUUUUGCUGGUUUUCGGAACACGAGGUAAUGAUUAAGAGGGACAGACGGGGGCAUCCGUAUUGCGGUGUUAGAGGUGAAAUUCUUGGAUCAUCGCAAGACGAACAACUGCGAAAGCAUUUGCCAAGCAUGUUUUCAUUAG
RNAcentral lists this ribosomal RNA (392 nucleotides) under uncultured eukaryote. RNAcentral's name for it is "partial 18S ribosomal RNA". It matches the Rfam family "Eukaryotic small subunit ribosomal RNA", at positions 592 to 976 of the family's 1831-position model. The record is from RNAcentral.